GGGAGGUAGUGACAAUAAAUAACAAUACGGGGUUCUUUCGGAUCUCGUAAUUGGAAUGAGUACAAUUUAAAUCUCUUAACGAGGAACAAUUGGAGGGCAAGUCUGGUGCCAGCAGCCGCGGUAAUUCCAGCUCCAAUAGCGUAUAUUAAAGUUGUUGCAGUUAAAAAGCUCGUAGUUGAAUUUCGGGAUCAAUUUAUCGGUCGUGCCUACGGUAUGAACUGGUACAAUUGGUUUCUCCCUUCUGACGAAGCAUGAUGUCAUUAAUUUGGUGUCGUGGGGAAUCAGGACUGUUACUUUGAAAAAUUAGAGUGUUUAAAGCAGGCUAGCGCCUGAAUACAUUAGCAUGGAAUAAUGAAAUAGGACGUUCGAACCUAUUUUGUUGGUUUCUAGGAUUGACGUAAUGAUUAAUAGGGAUAGUUGGG
RNAcentral lists this ribosomal RNA (422 nucleotides) under uncultured Glomeraceae. RNAcentral's name for it is "SSU rRNA". It matches the Rfam family "Eukaryotic small subunit ribosomal RNA", at positions 459 to 886 of the family's 1831-position model. Lineage: Eukaryota; Fungi; Glomeromycota; Glomeromycetes; Glomerales; Glomeraceae. The record is from RNAcentral.